GACAGAGGGUGCUAGCGUUGUUCGGAUUGACUGGGCGUAAAGGGCGCGUAGGCGGUUUUAUUAGUCAGGCGUGAAAGCCCCAGGCUUAACCUGGGAAUUGCGUUUGAAACGGUAAGACUAGAGAUCGGGAGAGGAAAGUGGAAUUCCUAGUGUAGAGGUGAAAUUCGUAGAUAUUAGGAGGAACAUCAGAGGCGAAGGCGGCUUUCUGGAACGAUACUGACGCUGAGGCGCGAAAGCGUGGGGAGCAAACAGG
RNAcentral lists this ribosomal RNA (253 nucleotides) under uncultured bacterium. Its description in RNAcentral is "partial 16S ribosomal RNA". It matches the Rfam family "Bacterial small subunit ribosomal RNA", at positions 524 to 776 of the family's 1533-position model. The record is from RNAcentral.